AGUGAACGCUGGCGGUAGGCCUAACACAUGCAAGUCGAACGGCAGCACAGUAAGAGCUUGCUCUUACGGGUGGCGAGUGGCGGACGGGUGAGGAAUACAUCGGAAUCUACUUUUUCGUGGGGGAUAACGUAGGGAAACUUACGCUAAUACCGCAUACGACCUACGGGUUAAAGCAGGGGAUCUUCGGACCUUUCGCGAUUGAAUGAGCCGAUGUCGGAUUAGCUAGUUGGCGGGGUAAAGUCCCACCAAGGCGACGAUCCGUAGCUGGUCUGAGAGGAUGAUCAGCCACACUGGAACUGAGACACGGUCCAGACUCCUACGGGAGGCAGCAGUGGGGAAUAUUGGACAAUGGGCGCAAGCCUGAUCCAGCCAUACCGCGUGGGUGAAGAAGGCCUUCGGGUUGUAAAGCCCUUUUGUUGGGAAAGAAAAGCAGCAGGUUAAUACCCCGCUGUUCUGACGGUACCCAAAGAAUAAGCACCGGCUAACUUCGUG
RNAcentral lists this ribosomal RNA (492 nucleotides) under uncultured bacterium. RNAcentral's name for it is "partial 16S ribosomal RNA". It matches the Rfam family "Bacterial small subunit ribosomal RNA", at positions 29 to 507 of the family's 1533-position model. The record is from RNAcentral.